GGCCGAGUAGCUCAGUCGGUAGAGCAGAGGAUUGAAAAUCCUUGUGUCGGCAGUUCGAUUCUGUCCUCGGCCACCA
Molecule: transfer RNA, 76 nt
Filed under: Limnobacter thiooxidans
Lineage: Bacteria; Pseudomonadati; Pseudomonadota; Betaproteobacteria; Burkholderiales; Burkholderiaceae
Also listed under: 15 other names
Description: tRNA-Phe
Rfam family: tRNA
About the family: Transfer RNA (tRNA) molecules are approximately 80 nucleotides in length.
Source: RNAcentral